GACGAACGCUGGCGGCGUGCUUAACACAUGCAAGUCGAACGGAAAGGCCCUGCUUUUGUGGGGUGCUCGAGUGGCGAACGGGUGAGUAACACGUGAGUAACCUGCCCUUGACUUUGGGAUAACUUCAGGAAACUGGGGCUAAUACCGGAUAGGAGCUCCUGCUGCAUGGUGGGGGUUGGAAAGUUUCGGCGGUUGGGGAUGGACUCGCGGCUUAUCAGCUUGUUGGUGGGGUAGUGGCUUACCAAGGCUUUGACGGGUAGCCGGCCUGAGAGGGUGACCGGCCACAUUGGGACUGAGAUACGGCCCAGACUCCUACGGGAGGCAGUAGUGGGGAAUAUUGCACAAUGGGCGGAAGCCUGAUGCAGCAACGCCGCGUGCGGGAUGACGGCCUUCGGGUUGUAAACCGCUUUCGCCUGUGACGAAGCGUGAGUGACGGUAAUGGGCAAAGAAGCACCGGCUAACUACGUG
RNAcentral lists this ribosomal RNA (468 nucleotides) under uncultured bacterium. Its description in RNAcentral is "partial 16S ribosomal RNA". It matches the Rfam family "Bacterial small subunit ribosomal RNA", at positions 28 to 507 of the family's 1533-position model. The record is from RNAcentral.